GUGCCAGCCGCCGCGGUACUACCGGCAGCCCAAGUGAUGGCCGCUGUUAUUGGGCCUAAAGCGUCCGUAGCUGGCCGCACAAGUCCGUCGGGAAAUCCGCCCGCUCAACGGGCGGCCGUCCGGCGGAACCUGUCCGGCUUGGGGCCGGAAGAUCCGAGGGGUACGUCCGGGGUAGGAGUGAAAUCCCGUAAUCCUGGACGGACCGCCGGUGGCGAAAGCGCCUCGGAAGGGCGGACCCGACGGUGAGGGACGAAAGCUGGGGUCUCGAACCGGAUUAGAAACCCGAGUAGUCC
RNAcentral lists this ribosomal RNA (293 nucleotides) under uncultured bacterium. RNAcentral's name for it is "partial 16S ribosomal RNA". It matches the Rfam family "Archaeal small subunit ribosomal RNA", at positions 455 to 747 of the family's 1478-position model. The record is from RNAcentral.